This 72-nucleotide non-coding RNA is filed under the name human gut metagenome. RNAcentral describes it as "Fluoride riboswitch". It matches the Rfam family "Fluoride riboswitch aptamer (crcB RNA motif)", at positions 6 to 61 of the family's 64-position model. The record is from RNAcentral.
GCAACAGGGAAUGAAGUUCUCCCUUGAAUGUAAUAUUCAAAACCGCUGAUGAAAGCUGAUGACUUCUGCAAA